Molecule: RNase MRP RNA, 199 nt
Filed under: Fibrocapsa japonica
Lineage: Eukaryota; Raphidophyceae; Chattonellales; Chattonellaceae
Description: partial RNase MRP
Rfam family: RNase MRP
About the family: RNase MRP is an enzymatically active ribonucleoprotein with two distinct roles in eukaryotes. In mitochondria it plays a direct role in the initiation of mitochondrial DNA replication.
Source: RNAcentral
UUUGCUAGGGGAAAUUCCUCGGACAGCAGGGCAGCAAGUGCCAGCCGUAACUGGUAAAUCCCCCAAAUCCGCUGCGUUUCGCGAAGAUGGUGGUAGCACACUGGAGUGAGCAGAGAAUUUGGGCAAAUUUUGUCAUAGCAAAGUUAUGCAACCACCCUUCAUAUCAAAGAUAUGAUGGGCUACUCAACGAGGAUUAUAC